GUCCCUGUAGCGCAAUGGAUAGCGCGUUGGACAGCUAAUCCAAAGGUCGUAGGUUCGAAUCCCACUUGGGAUA
Non-coding RNA from Trichonephila clavipes, 73 nucleotides. The record is from the annotation of a GenBank genome assembly. NCBI's taxonomy places the organism in Eukaryota, Metazoa, Arthropoda, Arachnida, Araneae, Nephilidae.